AGCCCAGAGCCUGAAUCAGUGUGUGUGUUAGUGGAAGCGUCUGGAAAGGCGCGCGAUACAGGGUGACAGCCCCGUACACAAAAAUGCACAUGCUGUGAGCUCGAUGAGUAGGGCGGGACACGUGGUAUCCUGUCUGAAUAUGGGGGGACCAUCCUCCAAGGCUAAAUACUCCUGACUGACCGAUAGUGAACCAGUACCGUGAGGGAAAGGCGAAAAGAACCCCGGCGAGGGGAGUGAAAAAGAACCUGAAACCGUGUACGUACAAGCAGUGGGAGCACAGAGCAAUCUGUGUGACUGCGUACCUUUUGUAUAAUGGGUCAGCGACUUAUAUUCUGUAGCAAGGUUAACCGAAUAGGGGAGCCGAAGGGAAACCGAGUCUUAAC
This 383-nucleotide ribosomal RNA is filed under the name Escherichia coli. RNAcentral's name for it is "partial 23S ribosomal RNA". It matches the Rfam family "Bacterial large subunit ribosomal RNA", at positions 296 to 688 of the family's 2925-position model. Lineage: Bacteria; Pseudomonadati; Pseudomonadota; Gammaproteobacteria; Enterobacterales; Enterobacteriaceae. The record is from RNAcentral.